This 253-nucleotide ribosomal RNA is filed under the name uncultured bacterium. Its description in RNAcentral is "partial 16S ribosomal RNA". It matches the Rfam family "Bacterial small subunit ribosomal RNA", at positions 524 to 776 of the family's 1533-position model. The record is from RNAcentral.
GACGUAGGGCGCGAGCGUUGUCCGGAUUUAUUGGGCGUAAAGAGCUCGUAGGCGGCUUGUUGCGUCGACUGUGAAAACCCGCGGCUUAACCGCGGGCUUGCAGUUGAUACGGGCAGGCUAGAGUUCGGUAGGGGAGACUGGAAUUCCUGGUGUAGCGGUGAAAUGCGCAGAUAUCAGGAGGAACACCGGUGGCGAAGGCUGGUCUCUGGGCCGAUACUGACGCUGAGGAGCGAAAGCGUGGGGAGCGAACAGG